This 524-nucleotide ribosomal RNA is filed under the name uncultured ciliate. Its description in RNAcentral is "SSU rRNA". It matches the Rfam family "Eukaryotic small subunit ribosomal RNA", at positions 443 to 984 of the family's 1831-position model. Lineage: Eukaryota; Ciliophora. The record is from RNAcentral.
ACCCAAUCCCGAUUCGGGGAGGUAGUGACAAGAAAUAGCAAACUGGAUGAAUUUUCAUCACAGUAUUGCAAUGAGAACAAUGUAAAUGCUUUAUCGAUUAACAAUUGGAGGGCAAGUCUGGUGCCAGCAGCCGCGGUAAUUCCAGCUCCAAUAGCGUAUAUUAAAGUUGUUGCAGUUAAAAAGCUCGUAGUUGAACUUCUGUACAUUCCCAGUUCUGGCUUCGGUCAAGCUGUGGAGUGUGCAUCCGCUUGCAAACUUAGACCGGCCUUCACUGGUCGACUAAGGGAGUAAGCCCUUUACUUUGAAAAAAUUAGAGUGUUUCAGGCAGGCAAUGGCUCGAAUACAUUAGCAUGGAAUAAUGGAAUAGGACUUUUGUCCAUUUGGUUGGUUAUUGGACAUAAGUAAUGAUUAAAAGGGACAGUUGGGGGCAUUAGUACUUAAUUGUCAGAGGUGAAAUUCUUGGAUUUAUUAAAGACUAACUUAUGCGAAAGCAUUUGCCAAGGAUGUUUUCAUUAAUCAAGAAC